RNAcentral lists this ribosomal RNA (439 nucleotides) under uncultured bacterium. RNAcentral describes it as "partial 16S ribosomal RNA". It matches the Rfam family "Bacterial small subunit ribosomal RNA", at positions 339 to 795 of the family's 1533-position model. The record is from RNAcentral.
CUACGGGUGGCUGCAGUGAGGAACAUUGCACAAUGGGGGGAACCCUGAUGCAGCAACGCCGCGUGGAGGAUGACGCAUUUCGGUGUGUAAACUCCUUUUAUAUGUCAAGAAAAUGACGGUAGCAUAUGAAUAAGCACCGGCUAACUCCGUGCCAGCAGCCGCGGUAAUACGGAGGGUGCAAGCGUUACUCGGAAUCACUGGGCGUAAAGGACGCGUAGGCGGGUUGGAAAGUCAGGUGUGAAAUCCCACAGCUUAACUGUAGAACUGCACUUGAAACUUCUAAUCUAGAGUAUGGGAGGGGGAGAUGGAAUUAGUGGUGUAGGGGUAAAAUCCGUAGAUAUCACUAGGAAUACCUAAAGCGAAGGCGAUCUCCUGGAACAUUACUGACGCUAAGGCGUGAAAGCGUGGGGAGCAAACAGGAUUAGAUACCCGGGUAGUC